RNAcentral lists this non-coding RNA (28 nucleotides) under Bombyx mori (domestic silkworm). The record is from RNAcentral. Lineage: Eukaryota; Metazoa; Arthropoda; Insecta; Lepidoptera; Bombycidae.
UAAGUCUAAUCUUCACCUACAACAAUAG